This 1453-nucleotide ribosomal RNA is filed under the name uncultured Chloroflexota bacterium. Its description in RNAcentral is "bacterial SSU rRNA". It matches the Rfam family "Bacterial small subunit ribosomal RNA". Lineage: Bacteria; Bacillati; Chloroflexota. The record is from RNAcentral.
GAGUUUGAUCUUGGCUCAGGAUGAACGCUGGCGGCGUGCUUAACACAUGCAAGUCGAACGAGAAAUUACUUUCGGGUAAUUGAAAGUGGCGCACGGGUGCGUAACACGUAGCUCAUCUGCCCUAGAGACGGGGAUAACGUUGGGAAACCAACGCUAAUACCCGAUAAGCUCACUAAGUGAGAAAAGUUCAGGCGCUCUAGGAUGAGGCUGCGGCCCAUCAGCUAGUUGGUAAGGUAAAAGCUUACCAAGGCGACGACGGGUAGGGGACCUGAGAGGGUGAACCCCCACACUGGCACUGAGACACGGGCCAGACUCCUACGGGAGGCAGCAGUGAGGAAUAUUGCACAAUGGGCGAAAGCCUGAUGCAGCGACGCCGCGUGAGCGAAGAGGGCCUUCGGGUCGUAAAGCUCUUUUCUGUGUGACGAGACGAGGACGGUAGCACAGGAAUAAGUCUCGGCUAACUACGUGCCAGCAGCCGCGGUAAAACGUAGGAGGCAAGCGUUAUCCGGAGUUACUGGGCGUAAAGCGCGUGUAGGCGGUAGUGAAGGUCAGAUGUGAAAGCUCCCAGGCUAAACCGGGAGAGGACAUUUGAAACCGCACAACUAGAGGAUAGCAGAGGGGUACGGAAUUCCGGGUGUAGUGGUGAAAUGCGUAGAGAUCCGGAGGAACACCAGUGGCGAAGGCGGUGCCCUGGGCUAAACCUGACGCUGAGACGCGAAAGCAUGGGGAGCGAACGGGAUUAGAGACCCCGGUAGUCCAUGCCGUAAACGAUGCACACUAAGUGUUUGUAUUGGGAAACCAAUGCGGGUGCUGAAGCUAACGCGAUAAGUGUGCCGCCUGAGGAGUACGGUCGCAAGGCUAAAACUCAAAGGAAUUGACGGGGGCCCGCACAAGCAGCGGAGCGUGUGGUUUAAUUCGAAGAUACACGAAGAACCUUACCAGGGCUUGACAUCCUCUGAACGACGUAGAAAUACGAAGGGUCCUUCGGGACAGAGUGACAGGUGCUGCAUGGCUGUCGUCAGCUCGUGCCGUGAGGUGUUCGGUUAAGUCCGCAAACGAGCGCAACCCCUAGUGUUAGUUACAAGUGUCUAGCACGACUGCCCUCGAAAAGGGGGAGGGAGGUGGGGAUGACGUCAAGUCAGCAUGGCCUUUAUGUCCUGGGCUACACACACGCUACAAUGGCACGUACAAUGGGUCGCGAAGCCGCGAGGUGGAGCCAAUCUCGAAAGCGUGUCGUAGUUCGGAUUGCAGGCUGCAACUCGCCUGCAUGAAGUCGGAGUUGCUAGUAACCGUGGAUCAGCUAUGCUACGGUGAAUACGUUCCCGGGCCUUGUACACACCGCCCGUCACGUCAUGGGAGCUGGUCACGCCUGAAGUCGGGAAGCUAACCGAAAGGGGGCUACCGCCGAGGGCAGGGCUGGUGACUGGGGUGAAGUCGUAACAAGGUAACCGUA